Lophiotrema nucula is the source of this 95-nucleotide non-coding RNA. Lineage: Eukaryota; Fungi; Ascomycota; Dothideomycetes; Pleosporales; Lophiotremataceae. The record is from the annotation of a GenBank genome assembly.
GUGUACGUAGUUUAGUGGUAAAAAGCCCAUCAGAGCAGCACCGUCAAUUGGCGGUGCUGGACGGGAGCCCCAGCGUUCAAUUCCUGGCGUACACC